GAUGAACGCUGGCGGCGUGCUUAACACAUGCAAGUCGAACGGUGAAGGCGGAGCUUGCUCUGCUGGAUCAGUGGCGAACGGGUGAGUAACACGUGAGCAAUCUGCCCCUGACUCUGGGAUAAGCGCUGGAAACGGCGUCUAAUACUGGAUACGAGCUGCUAAGGCAUCUUCAGCAGCUGGAAAUAAUUUCGGUCAGGGAUGAGCUCGCGGCCUAUCAGCUUGUUGGUGAGGUAACGGCUCACCAAGGCGUCGACGGGUAGCCGGCCUGAGAGGGUGACCGGCCACACUGGGACUGAGACACGGCCCAGACUCCUACGGGAGGCAGCAGUGGGGAAUAUUGCACAAUGGGCGAAAGCCUGAUGCAGCAACGCCGCGUGAGGGACGACGGCCUUCGGGUUGUAAACCUCUUUUAGCAGGGAAGAAGCGAAAGUGACGGUACCUGCAGAAAAAGCGCCGGCUAACUACGUG
RNAcentral lists this ribosomal RNA (468 nucleotides) under uncultured bacterium. Its description in RNAcentral is "partial 16S ribosomal RNA". It matches the Rfam family "Bacterial small subunit ribosomal RNA", at positions 28 to 507 of the family's 1533-position model. The record is from RNAcentral.